AAAACAUCGCCUCCUGCAACACAACCAAGUAUAGGAGGUCCAGCCUGCCCAGUGACUACAAGUUUAACGGCCGCGGUAUUUUGACCGUGCAAAGGUAGCGCAAUCACUUGUCUUUUAAAUAGAGACCUGUAUGAAUGGCUAAACGAGGGCUUAACUGUCUCCCCUUUCUAGUCAGUGAAAUUGAUCUACCCGUGCAGAAACGGGUAUAACAAUACAAGACGAGAAGACCCUUUGGAGCUUAAGGUACAAAACUCAACCACGUAAAGCAACUCAGUAAAAAGUAAAAACUUUGUGGAAAAUGAAAUUUUACCUUCGGUUGGGGCGACCACGGAGGAAAGUAAAGCCUCCAAGUGGACUGGGACAAACCUCCUAAAACCAAGAGAGACAUCUCUAAGCCACAGAACAUCUGACCAAAUAUGAUCCGGCUGACAAAGCCGAUCAACGAACCAAGUUACCCUAGGGAUAACAGCGCAAUCCUCUCCCAGAGUCCAUAUCGACGAGAGGGUUUACGACCUCGAUGUUGGAUCAGGACAUCCUAAUGGUGCAGCCGCUAUUAAGGGUUCGUUUGUUCAACGAUUAAAGUCCUACGUGA
Molecule: ribosomal RNA, 592 nt
Filed under: Poropuntius bantamensis
Lineage: Eukaryota; Metazoa; Chordata; Actinopteri; Cypriniformes; Cyprinidae
Description: partial 16S ribosomal RNA
Rfam family: Bacterial large subunit ribosomal RNA
Source: RNAcentral